Molecule: long non-coding RNA, 3395 nt
Organism: Sparus aurata (gilthead seabream)
Lineage: Eukaryota; Metazoa; Chordata; Actinopteri; Spariformes; Sparidae
Source: Ensembl
UCACAUACCUCUAAAUUCACCCAACUGCGUAGAAGCAAAAUCUGGGUGGCCGCCGUCAAGUACCGCCGUUCGUCUUCAUUCAAAGAUGUACCGUUGGUUUGGGAGGUCUCGCGAGAUCUCGCACAGUGUCCCUUCCCGGGCACCGUACAAUCCCGCCACUGAAUGUAUAGAUACCGGAAGCUUGCGAGCGGUAAAACUGGUUACGGCGUGUUUAGGUUAUAGCAUGGAUGCUGAGGACAUUUGCGUGAGAUAGCGUUGCUUGCCCAGUCUAGUUGACUAACGUUAGCUACGUUACAAGACAGUUACAGUAAUAGCUAUGUCGAAAAGAAAACACAACGUUACUCUCAACACGAAAGAAAAAGAUUGGUUGAGAGAAAACGUUCCAAGACGUACUUUGACAAGAUGGAAAAAAAGGAAAAUCAACAGAACUUUGACUGACAUUGAAAAACACACUGCUCAACGACAUGAAAUUGAUGAAGGUGCCAGCCAAAGCGAAGAGCAGAGAGCAGAGCCUUUCACAUUAACACAGGAAAUUGAUGAAGAUGCCAGCCAAAGCGAAGAGCAGAGAGCAGAGCCUUUCACAUCAACACAGGAAAUUGAUGAGGAUGCCAGCCAAAGCGAAGAGCAGAGAGCAGAGCCUUUCACAUUAACACAGGAAAUUGAUGAGGAUGCCAGCCAAAGCGAAGAGCAGAGAGCAGAGCCUUUCACAUCAACACAGGACAAUGUACCUCAAGCAAUAGAUGAUGUCCACACCCAAGGACUAACGGAAGAGCAAAGUUGCAUCUCGAUUCUCUCCUUUGCAUUGAGACACAACACUACAGGUGUAUUGAUGGAAGACCUGCUGAAACUUUUAAAGUUACAUUCUGCUGGGACAAGUGCAAUUCCAGCAAGCAAGUAUUUUUUGGGGAAACCAUUAGCUGGUAUUGUAGAUCAAUUUGAACACCAUCAUUACUGCAGCGUAUGUACUAAGUACCUUGGCACUUCACAGUCACAAGAAGAAACACUUACAUGCGUGUCAUGUUCCUCAUCCAUAACAGUAAAAGCCAGUUUACACGAAGGACAUUUCUUUAUCAGUAUUCCAUUAAAGGGCCAACUGAAAGAUAUUCUUGAGAAUCAGGGUAUGCAUGAUCUCUGUUUUCCUGCUGAUGACAGUAGUAGAGAAGUAAUAAAUGAUAUAUGUGAUGGCACCUUAUAUCAGGCCUUGCAGUCAAACAGUGAAGUGGAUUUCCUUUCCCUUACAUUUAAUUGUGAUGGUGUACCAGUCUUUCAGUCCUCUAAAUUUAGUAUUUGGCCAAUACUGUGUUGUGUUAAUGAGAUACCCCCUCAGUGCAGAGAUAAGCAUGUACUUUUAUGUGCUUUGUGGUUCGGUUCCAAAAAGCCAGACAUGACCUGUUUCUUCAAACCAUUUGUGGAGGAAUGUGCCAAUCUUUCAAAAACUGGUUUUAAGUGGCAUCAUCCUAUUGAUCAGUCAUGGAGAAAUGUGAAGGUGCACCCAUUGUGCUGUGUGUGUGAUGCAGUAGCAAGGCCUUUACUACAGAAUUUUAAGCAAUUUAAUGGUGAAUAUGGCUGUGGAGUCUGCCUUCACCCUGGGGUGCAAAUGAGGAAAGGACAAGGAAACUCAAGAGUUUACACAUGUUCAGCUGAAAAACCAAGUGACAGAAAUCACAAAACCACAGUAGAAAUAGGACAAAUUGCUGAAAGAGAAGGGAAGACUAUAUUGGGCAUAAAGGGCCCAUCUGCUAUUGUAGAUUUAGCAAAGUUUGAUCUAAUCAAUGGGAUGGUCCCUGACUAUAUGCACUGUGUGUUGCUUGGCGUGUGUAGACAAAUGGCGACUUUAUGGAUCGAUUCUAAGAGCUAUUCUGAGCCAUGGUACAUUGGCACACAAACAGCAAUCAUGGACAGACACCUCUUGUCUAUAAAACCACCAGGUAUUGUUGCUCGAGUUCCAAGAUCUCUCACUGAACGCAAGUUCUGGAAAGCCCACGAGUGGCAACACUGGCUUCUGUAUUAUAGCUUGCCAGUUCUGAAAGGCAUACUUCCACAGAAGUAUCACUCUCAUUGGGCGUUACUGAUAGAGGGCAUAAGCAUUCUGUUGGGAUCUGAAUUAAGUACAGAGCAGAUAAAUCACGCCCAUGACGCAUUAGUGUACUUUGUUGGAGGUGUGCAAGCGCUGUAUGGGGAAGAGCACAUGACAUUCAAUGUUCAUUCACUUCUGCAUUUAAGCCAAAGUGUUGUGCAUUGGGGUCCAUUGUGGGCCCACUCAGCCUUUAUGUUUGAAGCUUUCAAUGGAUACCUACUGAAACAAGUAAAAAGUAGUCAAGCUGUACCACAACAAAUAUGCAAACGAGUGAUGUUGUCCCGUGCUUUUCCCCGUUUAGCAAAACAAUUCCUAACAAAUGCACCAGCAGAGGUUAAAGAUUUCUGUAAUGAAAUGAGAACCGAAAAGCAUCAUGUCAAGAAGUUUGCAAAGUUUGCUGAGGUGACUGCCCUUGGUCCACCAAAUGUAAGAUUAAUAUCUGUUGGUGAUCAAGCUGCCCUCCACACAGUGAAACAGGUUCCCACAAACUAUGUGGUGAAUUACUACAAGAGAAUUGCUGUAAAUGCAGAAGUUGUACAUGGUCAUACCUACAGCAAAACAAAACAAAGAAACAACUCUAUUGUGCUUUUGAAGGAUGGGAGUAUUUUUAGAGUCUCCCACUUUAUUGACAUUGGUGAUCAGUGUUUAUAUGCCAUAGGGAACUAUGGUAAAUGCACAGUGCAGAAGUUAGCCAGAGGUUCUCUUAUCAAAACUCCACUGAGCUACAUGUCAACGGUGCACUUUCCCACAGGCUUUCACAAAGCCAUAAACACUACUCAGGUAGUUGGACCAUGUAUGUAUAUUCAGUGUCCACAAUCCAGCUCGUUUGUGUGUCGGCUGCUGAAGACAUAUUAUUGUAAAUGAAUGAUUGUGAACUAAAUGUGAAGAUGGUCACCUAUUAAUUUAGGGUCGCUGAGCUGGAAAGUAACUAAUUGCUAUUACUGUUACUGUAAUUGAGUGUAAUUGUACUGUGACUGAACUGUACGUUCUUUAACUUUAAGGUGAGAAACACAAAUCUAUUACCAAUGUAACUAUGAUGAAAUGGCAUAUAUCAGAAUGACAAAUACAUUUAUUCUUCUUUGAUACCUUUGCAAUGCAUGUCAUCAACUUGUAUGUAUUUCAAUGUAACGUCCAAAAAGAGACAAGUGCAAAACAACUUAAAGUUGCAUCUUAAUCAACUUGGGUCAGUUGGGUCAUGUAAAAAGAAAAAAAAUCCAUUGCCACUUUUCUGAAUUUUAAGUAAAUAUGCAACUUGUGUAAUGUCAUUUGCUAAUUUUGUGAAAAAUUAAAAUCUUUCUACAGCAAGAAAGGAGGGAGU